This 253-nucleotide ribosomal RNA is filed under the name uncultured bacterium. RNAcentral describes it as "partial 16S ribosomal RNA". It matches the Rfam family "Bacterial small subunit ribosomal RNA", at positions 524 to 776 of the family's 1533-position model. The record is from RNAcentral.
UACAGAGGGGGCAAGCGUUGUUCGGAAUUACUGGGCGUAAAGCGCACGUAGGCGGAUUUGUAAGUCAGGGGUGAAAUCCCGGGGCUCAACCUCGGAACUGCCUUUGAUACUGCAAAUCUCGAGUCCGGAAGAGGUGAGUGGAAUUCCUAGUGUAGAGGUGAAAUUCGUAGAUAUUAGGAAGAACACCAGUGGCGAAGGCGGCUCACUGGUCCGGUACUGACGCUGAGGAGCGAAAGCCAGGGGAGCAAACGGG